UGGUAAUUCUAGAGCUAAUACAUGCUAAAAACCCCGACUUCGGGAGGGGUGUAUUUAUUAGAUAAAAAACCAACGCCCUUCGGGGCUCCUUGGUGAUUCAUGAUAACUUAACGAAUCGCAUGGCCUUGCGCCGGCGAUGGUUCAUUCAAAUUUCUGCCCUAUCAACUUUCGAUGGUAGGAUAGUGGCCUACCAUGGUAUCAACGGGUAACGGGGAAUUAGGGUUCUAUUCCGGAGAGGGAGCCUGAGAAACGGCUACCACAUCCAAGGAAGGCAGCAGGCGCGCAAAUUACCCAAUCCCGACACGGGGAGGUAGUGACAAUAAAUACUGAUACAGGGCUCUUUUGGGUCUUGUAAUUGGAAUGAGUACAAUUUAAAUCCCUUAACGAGGAACAAUUGGAGGGCAAGUCUGGUGCCAGCAGCCGCGGUAAUUCCAGCUCCAAUAGCGUAUAUUAAAGUUGUUGCAGUUAAAAAGCUCGUAGUUGAACCUUGGGCCUGGCUGGCCGGUCCGCCUCACCGCGUGCACUGGUCCGGCCGGGCCUUUCCUUCUGGGGAUCCGCAUGCCCUUCACUGGGUGUGCCGGGGAACCAGGACUUUUACUUUGAAAAAAUUAGAGUGUUCAAAGCAGCCUUUGCUCGAAUACAUUAGCAUGGAAUAAUAGAAUAGGACGUGGUUCUAUUUUGUUGGUUUCUAGGACCGCCGUAA
Molecule: ribosomal RNA, 703 nt
Filed under: Lichenothelia calcarea
Lineage: Eukaryota; Fungi; Ascomycota; Dothideomycetes; Lichenotheliales; Lichenotheliaceae
Description: SSU rRNA
Rfam family: Eukaryotic small subunit ribosomal RNA
Source: RNAcentral